Molecule: ribosomal RNA, 508 nt
Filed under: Trichoferus campestris
Lineage: Eukaryota; Metazoa; Arthropoda; Insecta; Coleoptera; Cerambycidae
Description: partial 16S ribosomal RNA
Rfam family: Bacterial large subunit ribosomal RNA
Source: RNAcentral
GUCCUUUUGAUUUUAAUUUAAGGUCUGACCUGCCCUCUGAUUAUUUGAAUGGCCGCGGUACUUUGACCGUGCAAAGGUAGCAUAAUAAUUAGUUUUUUAAUUGAAAGCUGGUAUGAAUGGUUGGAUAAAGGAAUAACUGUCUCUUUCUAAAUUUUUUAGAAUUUUAUUUUUAAGUAAGAAAGCUUAAAUGUUUUUAAAAGACGAGAAGACCCUAUAGAGUUUUAUAUAUUAUAAAUAUUAAUUUUUUUGGAAAUUAUUAACUUUAUUAUUAUACUGUAUUUUGUUGGGGCGAUUGAAAAACUAAUUAAACUUUUUCUUUAUUAUAACAUUAAUUUAUGAUUUGUUGAUCCAUUGUUAGUGAUUAUAAGAUAAAAUUACCUUAGGGAUAACAGCGUAAUCUUUUUUGAGAGUUCUUAUCGAAAAGAGGGGUUGCGACCUCGAUGUUGGAUUAAAAUUAAUUUUUGGUGUAGAAGCUAAAAAUAUUAGGUCUGUUCGACCUUUAAAAUUU